AAUUUGGCAGCGAUUACAUACUUGAGUCUUCUUGGGUAUGACGCUUGAGUCUUGGGUAUGAGCUUGGUACACCUGUAUUUGGGGAGUUUCCGCCAUUUUUCUCUGCAAAUCCUCUCAAGCUCUGUCAGGUUGGAUGGGGAGCAUCGCUACACAAUUUUCAGGUCUCUCAAGAGAUUUUCGAUCGGGUUCAAGUCCGGGCCCUGGCACGAACACAGUACAGCGCACACAGGCUUAAAGGGGAAUGGAAACCCUAUGAUUUUGAACGUCAGCUAACUGUAACUGUAAAUCGCCAUAUUGGCAUUGUUGCGUCACUAGCAGGAGAGAACAUUUUGGAACUCCCAAAAAUAGCUUAAUUUACCGAGUAGCUUCAAGUCUGAGAAUGAAAAAUGUUAAUUAGGGAGCCAAUAAAUCUACUGAAGCUGGUCAUGUUUGAGCCGAUCGUUGCACCAGAUCAAGAGUUCGUUCUCGUAGCAGUAACAACACAGAUAUGCCGCCUGAAACACCUCAGCCAGAGAGUCGGCGUAGCCAAACACAAAGUGGUGUUUGUGGGGAUGAUGCCAGAGCAUACAGGCUGGCAGUUUAUCGCCAGUUCACCCUAUGGGCACAAGAGAGAAUUGGACAAGGUGUAAGGCGUCUCAUUCCUGCGUGUGUCAUUUCUUCCAUAAUGCACACAUAGCCAGAAGCAAAGGCAUUGAAUAAAAUGUUAAAUAAAACCAGUUCAUUGAGUAAAUCUAGCCUAGCCUAAGACCCAGAUCUAAUGUCUGCGCCUUAUGUAAAAUAGUAUUGGUUAACUUGUCCACUAUAACAACAGGUUCAAGCGUAACCAAAUAAACUUCAUUUGAAGAUAAAACUACUUUCAGUGCCUUCUAAUCCCGUGUCUCUGUCACUAGAGUAAUGACUUCAACUAGCUUUGGCUGCCAUCUAUUGGAAAGGAAUGGUAACUACACUGGGCAGCUAGUUGCAGAGUCAAAGUAGACUUUAAUAAUAUUUGCCAUUUAGCAGACACUUUCAUCCAAAGCGAACUGGGUACAUGGUAGUGGAAAAAGAUAAUAGAAACAGGAUUACAAUGCUGAUAUCAUGGAUGGCCAUUCCUUGCAUCUAUAGCGCUGUCUAUGAAUUUGAGUGGUUAUAUUUUUCCAGCCCCAUCCCUCAGCUUUUUACCAAAAGAGGAGCAUUGGUGACACUUUGUUAUUGUUUCUACUGCUGAUUGACACUUUAAGAAGUUAAUGGUAGACUUUCAGGUACUCAACAAGGUCUGAUUUCAUUACUACUAAAACAGGACCCAGAUUGUAAGUAUAAAGAUCCAGUCCGUUUAAAAAACUGGAAGCCUCUAACACUUCAAUUUUAUGAUGUGAAAUGCAUAGCAUAUAGAAUAAAGUUUUUUUACAUGGACGAUAUAUUGGAGAUAAUAUGACAAUUACUUGAAACAAUUGAACAUUAUGAAACAUUGAAGAUACCAGGUUUGGUCUUCAUAGCAGAUUUUGAAAAGACGUUUGAUAAAGUACAAUUAGAAUUUGUAUAUAAAUGCCUGGAAUACUUUAAUUUUGGUGAAUCUCUUAUACAAUGGGUUAAAGUUAUGUAUAGCAACCCCAGAUGUAAAAUAGUAACCAAUGGUUACUUCUCAGAAAGUAAUGAGCUUUUAAGAGGAGUAAAGCAAGGCUGUCUGUUGUCUCCAUAUUUAUUUAUUAUUGCCAUUGAAAUGCUAGCUAUUAACAUUAGAUCCAACAAGAACAUCAAGGGGUUAGAAAUCCAGGGGAUAUAAACAAAAGUGUCAAUGUAUGCUGAUGACUAUUUUUUUCUUAAGUCCGCAAUCUGGAUCCCUGCACAAUCUCAUUGAAGAUCUUGAUCACUUUUCUAGCCAAUCUGGAUUAAACCCUAAUUAUGACAAGUGUACCAUAUUACGUAUUGGAUCGUAAAAAAAUACACUGUAUACAGUACCUUGUAGUUUACCAAUAAAAUGGGCGGAUGGUUGUCAGGUGUGUGUGUACUGGUAACGAGGUCAGGUGCAGGAGAGCAGAGAUUUGUGAACAGGCGCACACUGAGGCAAAAGGGCAAAAUGCGCAAAACAGUCACAAGAAUUAUGUUUAACAAUAAACAUCUUCGUGAAAAAUACCACAGAAAAAAACAAACCAGUCUAGCACGUCAACAAUAAACAUGUAACACAAACAAUCUUUCACAAAGACAUGAUGGGGAACAGAGGAAUAAAUACAUGUAGAUUGAUUGGGGAAUGAAAACCAGGUGUGCAGGGAACAAGAAAAAACAAAUGGAUACAUGAAAAAUGGAGCGGCGAUAGCUAGAAAGUCGGUGACGUCGACCGCCGCCCAAACAAGGAGUCGACGACUUCGGCGGAAGUCGUGACAGUACUCCCCCCCCGACGCGCGGCUCCAGCGGUGCGUCGACACCGGCCUCGGGGACGACCCGGAGGGCGAGGUGCAGGGCGAUCCGGCCGGCGACGGUGGAACUCACGCAGCAGUUCAGGGUCCAAUACAUCAGCCACUGGAACCCAGCACCUCUCCUCCGGACUGUACCCCUCCCACUCCAUGAGGUACUGAAGGCCCGACGCCUCGAAUCCAGGAUGGAACGGACGGAGUACGCCGGGGCCCCCUCGAUGUCCAGAGUGGGCGGAGGAACCUCCCGUACCUUAGACUCCUGGAGCGGACCAGCCACCACCGGCCUGAGAAGAGACAUGGAACGAGGGGUUAAUAUGGUAAUCGGGGGGAAGCUGUAACCUGUAACAUACCUUGUUCACUCUCCUCAGGACUUUGAAUGGCCCGACAAACCGUGGGCCCAGCUUCCGGCAGGUCGAGACCCCCAAACGUUCCAUGAACGCCCUCCAGACUCGAAGUGAACUGGGGACCUCGAUCAGACACUAUAUCCUUAGGCACCCCGUAGUGCCGGAGGACGUGUGUAAACAGGACCUCCGCAGUUUGUAGGGCCGUAGGGAGACCGGGCAGAGGGAGGAGACAACAGGACUUAGAGAAACAAUUCACAAUGGCCAGGAUCGUGGUGUUUCCCUGUGAGGGAGGAAGAUCCGUUAGAAAAUCCACCGACAGGUGUGACCAAGGCCGUUGUGGAACGGGUAAGGGAUGUAGCUUCCCUCUGGGCAGGUGUCUAGGAGCCUUACACUGGGCGCACACCGAGCAGGAGGAAACAUAAACCCUCACGUCCCGAGCCAAGGUGGGCCACCAGUACUUCCCAGUCAGACAGCGCACCGUCCGACCGAUCCCCGGAUGACCAGAGGAGGGUGAUGUGUGGGCCCAAUAGAUCAACUGGUCACGGACAGCAGACGGAAUGUAUUGACGCCCAACGGGACACUGGGGUGGAGCGGUCUCUGUACGCAACGCCUGCUCAAUGUCCGCGUCCAGCUCCCACACGACCGGCGCUACCAGGCAGGAGGCCGGGAGAAUGGGAGUCUGAUCCAUGGGCCACUCCUCUGUGUCAUACAGCCGGGACAGUGCGUCUGCCUUCACAUUCUGGGAACCUGGUAUGUAGGACAGGGUAAACACAAAACGGGUAAAGAACAUGGCCCACCUUGCCUGACGAGGAUUCAGUCUCCUAGCUGCACGGAUGUACUCCAGGUUGCGGUGGUCAGUCCAGAUGAGGAAAGGGUGUUUAGCCCCCUCAAGCCAAUGUCUCCACGCCUUCAAAGCCUUAACCACAGCCAACAGCCCCCGGUCCCCCACAUCAUAGUUCCGCUCCGCCGGGCUGAGCUUCUUCGAGAAGAAAGCACAGAGGCGGAGCUUUGGUGGCGUGCCCGAGCGCUGAGAGAGCACAGCUCCAAUCCCAGCCUCGGACGCGUCCACCUCCACUAUGAAUGCCAAAGAGGGAUCCGGAUGGGCCAGCACGGGAGCCGAGGUAAACUCUUAGUUGCCCAAAAGUCCUGUCUGCCUCAACCGACCACUGCAGACUACAGGACCCCCCUUCAGCAGUGAGGUAAUGGGAGCAGCUAAGAGACUGAAUCAGUAGAUCACUUAUUCUGGUAUUGCCCCUACGUAGCUUGUUUCUGGUCACAGGUUCAGGAAUGGUAAAAAAAAAAAUCACAACAUGCACUUAAAAUUAACCUUACAAAUAGCAGUGUUGGGUGAUCUGGAAAGCCAUAGCCAGUCAAUAAAUCAUCUAAAAUUAUUUGAAGGAAAGAAGUUAAGAUGCAUUAAAUACACACCAAAAUAUGUUACAGAUACUACAAAAAUGUUCCAUCACUCAGACAGUUAGUGAAUACACAGCAUCCAGCACAGCAAACAAUCAAUCAAUCAAAUAUAUAUUGACAAAAGCCCUUUUUACAUCAAAAUAAUAACCACAGUGGUUAUAGAGGGUGCAACAGUUCAACACCUCAGGAGCAAAUGUCAGUUGGCUUUUCAUAGCUGAGCAAUAAUAGGUUGAGAGAGUGUCGAAACAGCAGAACCAGGACAAGGAAGCACGUCCAUUGAAACGGGUAAAAAAACAUAUUUGAAAAAAUAAUUCCACUCCAAUUCCCUUUAUGGAUGGGUGUAUCUUUGAAUUGGCUGUUGAAUGGCCUGCUCCUUCUCCAUUUUCGGAACACCAUCCCGCUCCCCCAAAGUGAUCGAUAGUAUAUUUUGGCUCGCACUGUGAUGAGUGUGAUUCUGAGCUCUCAGCGAGUUAUGGUCUUCACUGAUCUCACUCUCCAUCAGCUCCAUCUGUGGCAAAUAGGGGCAGGACUCGAUUGUAUACUGAUGGUCGUGAGCGCAAUCUAGCUGGGCCCUGAGCUCUUUGGUGAUGGUCCCGGUGGACCUCUUCUCCACCGCAGCACAGGAACACUCUGCCACCCAGGGGUCAGUUUGGCAUGCUGUACUAACCGUUCUUUCCUGUUGGUAGAAAACAAUUAAUGCAUCUAUUAGGCUAUAGUUAUAUUCAAAUCACUGCAUAUACUUGAAAUAAACAAUAGCUUUAGAAAUAACAUGGAUUUGCAUGUACCCCCUGCCUCCUGCAGGAUGAAAACAUUUUCAGGGAUGAAGAUGUCAUCCUGAAAACAAGCAAACGUUUUGUUAAGACAACUGAACCCACAUAUAUCAGUUGGCAUUAACAAGCUACCUGUUGUAUGCUUUAUCAACACACACACACACACACACACACAGCAAAUACAGGGACAUGUCUUUAUCAGCAAACAUUAGUUAUGUCAACUUCAGUCUAGCUAAAUGAGGUGGAGUUAACAAAACAUUACAAAAACAAAUCUGUCAACAAAAUGUAUUACAGUACUUGACUAUCUGAGGUGGGAGCUAGCUACAGUAACUAACGUUACCUAAUAACAGGGGUACACGGAUAAACUGUGUUGCAAUUUUAGUUACAAUUGAGUUGCUUGCUAACCUUAUUUGCUGGGGGGGGGGUUACACAAAACACUUCAGAUGCAAUUAGCUAGUUACCUUCAACUAGAGUUGCAACAAAGUUGUCCAGUGUCUAACGCUAGCCUAGUCAACAGUCAUGACCGGUUAACGUUACCUCUGGAGCUCCAUUGCAUUGACUCGCGUGGCCUCCUUCGUUCAGUCGCUUUUGAUGAUGGUCGGUCGGAAACCCGUACACCAUAACCCUCGAAAUGUCCUUCAUCGCGAUGUCUGCCUCUGCGAAAUGCUGUCUGCAGAUCUGCAACCUACUUCUCUAUCUAUAAACCGACACUAUGAGAUAUCCUGUGUUUACUAUUAUAUUAUACAAAAUGUUCAGGGUAAGCUGAAAGGCUACAUGUUAAUAUCCAUACAAUUACUGCGCUAUAAUACAAUUUAUAUCACCACGCUGUAGGUUAUUACUGUGGCCAGGAAAAGCGGAGUAUUGUAAAACUGCUGCCAACUUACCACAAAGCCACAGGUGUCCCCUCUCUGCUUAUCCCAAAUAAACGCUGGCUCAGCGAAAUGCAGAAGCUAUUUAAUACGAACGAUUCAACAAUUCCCUUUGGCCUUCAUUUACUGACACCGACCAACGGCAAGAACAAAUAGACGGUAGCAUAAGCAAAUAAUAAGUAUGCUAGUGCGCCAGUAUUUGUGCGUUAGAGAUGUCGACGAUGAGUAUGACGUGUAUCGUCGACAUCUCUAAAGCACAGAUACUGGGGCAAAUAAGUAGCUGUUCAACAUAUACAGGCGCGUUAAUACUACAGUAGUAGUCUACCUGCUAUAAAAGAGGAAGUUCCAGGCGAGAUAUCAGAAGUGCCGUAUCAAGUCUCCUUCGAUUUUCGAGAGGUGUGUCUGCUCUCUCGCAGUGUAGAAGCCUAGAAUAAAACACUGAUGGAGAAGACCGGCUAUGUGCACACUUCCCACAAAAUGAGGUGGAAACUGAGCUGCACUUUCUAACCUCCUGCCAAAUGUAUGACCAUAUUAGAGACACAUAUUUCCAUCAGAUUACACAGACCCUCAAAGAAUUCGAAAACAAACCCGAUUUUGAUAAACUCCCCUAUCUAUUGGGUGAAAUCCCAGUGUACCAUCACCGCAGCAAGAUGUGUGACCUGUUGCCACAAGAAAAGGUCAACCAGGAAGAACAAACACCAUCGUAAAUACAACCCAUAUUUAUGCUUAUUUAUUU
Molecule: long non-coding RNA, 6522 nt
Filed under: Salmo salar (Atlantic salmon)
Lineage: Eukaryota; Metazoa; Chordata; Actinopteri; Salmoniformes; Salmonidae
Description: lncRNA (ENSSSAG00000120537.1)
Source: RNAcentral